RNAcentral lists this ribosomal RNA (466 nucleotides) under uncultured bacterium. RNAcentral describes it as "partial 16S ribosomal RNA". It matches the Rfam family "Bacterial small subunit ribosomal RNA", at positions 28 to 507 of the family's 1533-position model. The record is from RNAcentral.
GACGAACGCUGGCGGCGUGCUUAACACAUGCAAGUCGAACGGAAAGGCCCUGCUUGCAGGGUACUCGAGUGGCGAACGGGUGAGUAACACGUGGGUGAUCUGCCCUGCACUUCGGGAUAAGCUUGGGAAACUGGGUCUAAUACCGGAUAGGAGCCAUCUUUAGUGUGGUGGUUGGAAAGUUUUUUCGGUGUAGGAUGAGCUCGCGGCCUAUCAGCUUGUUGGUGGGGUAAUGGCCUACCAAGGCGGCGACGGGUAGCCGGCCUGAGAGGGUGUACGGCCACAUUGGGCCUGAGAUACGGCCCAGACUCCUACGGGAGGCAGCAGUGGGGAAUAUUGCACAAUGGGCGCAAGCCUGAUGCAGCGACGCCGCGUGGGGGAUGAAGGCCUUCGGGUUGUAAACUCCUUUCGCUAGGGACGAAGCUUUGUUGUGACGGUACCUAGAUAAGAAGCACCGGCUAACUACGUG